AGCAGCCGCGGUAAUUCCAGCUCCAAUAGCGUAUAUUAAAGUUGUUGCAGUUAAAAAGCUCGUAGUUGAAUUUCGGGGUCAGUAGAUUGGUCAUGCCACUGGUAUGUACUGGUCUCACUGAUUCCUCCUUCCUGAUGAGCCGUAAUGCCAUUAAUUUGGUGUUGCGAGGAAUUUGGACUGUUACUUUGAAAAAUUAGAGUGUUUAAAGCAAGCUAACGCUUGAAUACAUUAGCAUGGAAUAAUGAAAUAGGACGUUCGAUCCUAUUUUGUUGGUUUCUAGGAUUGACGUAAUGAUUAAUAGGGAUAGUUGGGGGCAUUAGUAUUCAAUUGUCAGAGGUGAAAUUCUUGGAUUUAUUGAAGACUAACUACUGCGAAAGCAUUUGCCAAGGAUGUUUUCAUUAAUCAAGAACGAAAGUUAGGGGAUCGAAGACGAUCAGAUACCGUCGUAGUCUUAACCAUAAACUAUGCCGACUAGGGAUCGGAUGAUGUUAAUUUUUAAUGACUCAUUC
Molecule: ribosomal RNA, 509 nt
Filed under: uncultured Glomus
Lineage: Eukaryota; Fungi; Glomeromycota; Glomeromycetes; Glomerales; Glomeraceae
Description: SSU rRNA
Rfam family: Eukaryotic small subunit ribosomal RNA
Source: RNAcentral